Molecule: long non-coding RNA, 1743 nt
Organism: Gallus gallus (chicken)
Lineage: Eukaryota; Metazoa; Chordata; Aves; Galliformes; Phasianidae
Source: Ensembl
GAACCAGAGAGGAAAGGCAGAAAACUAGCAAUGGAGAGACAUAUAUGUCGCAUGACUCUUCUCUGGUAGGAAAGAUCUUGCACACAUACACAAAAGAAAAUCAAGUCUUCCUGUAAGUAUCGCAAUCUCUUUAAUUCUUUUCCCUAGUACUUGACAUAAUCUUUAUGUGUUUAAAAAUUAAAUGCGAAGUUGCAGGAAGGACUGCACAGUGGCUCCUCUGGGCCUGAAUCCAUUCUUUAUUGGGGCCUUCCCCUCUUUUUGCCAUCCUUUGUUUGCUCUGGUAAAACGAGCAAUUGUGUGGGACAUGAGCACAGUCCAGACCUCAUUCAAGUCUCCGUUUGUUCCCUGAAUGACCUGGCUGUGCAGAUCUCACUCUGCUCACGUCAGUGCAGAGGAAAAAGCUCCAGUCUUGAAGUGUAAGCACAAGGGAGAGAACUGAGUUUUCCCAUGCGUUGUUGCUGCCAUUGCGUCAUUCCAAGCUCAGGAUUUGGUGUCUCAGAAAAGAUAUCUUGUCAUUGUCUAUGUUCUUUCAAAUUUGAUCACUUUAACUUCCCCAACAGCAAAGGUUCUCUUUGAAAUCCUCAAUGUCCAUUUAUUGUUCUUGCUUCACAUUUGAAAUCAAGCAGGCAUGAAACAAAUUUAAUGUAGCUCCAACCUUCUUCCACCCAGCUUGGUAAACUGGUAUUGAUCCAUCUAAUGCAUCUAACAGGGACCAAACGGGCUGCACAAGGAGAUAUUUUCAUUCCGUUGUGUGAUUUUUUUCAGCACAAUGGAUUGGUUUCCUUUGGAAAGCUUGCUCCAGAUUGUAUACUGGAAGGUAUGAAUAUCAUUCAAUGUAGUAAAAGGAGGGAUGACCUCUUACAGAGUUCAUCACUGGGAUUUGCUCUGGAAAAAAGUCUGGAGAGGGUUUGGAGGAAGCUGACCCAGCAGCCACUCCCAGCACCAACCACUGACCAAGAGAUGCCUCUAUGAAGCCUAAUUCCUCACCUGGAGGAGAAGGUAAUUAAUCCAAGAGAAGUAACUAUCCGGAGCAGCAAACUGAGCACACCGUGAUGGCUCUUCCAUUCAGACUGUCAUAACCUGCUUGUGCCACAAAGCAUUAUUUCAUUUUAUCUGGAGGCAGCUGGACUGACAAUACAGUUACGCCAUUUCAGGAAGCUUUUAGAGAUCUGCAGUGUCAAGAAAGAACAAUUUGCGUUAUCUUCUUUAUUGUGUCUAUUACUUCUUCAAAAAAACAUCAUUUAACGUGCAAAUGGCAAAUAGAAGCAUUCUUGAAAUUUAUACUUGGUGCAGAUUUUAUGUCCUCUUCCUUCAAUCAUUGCUGAAAUUAGAAGGUUAAAAACAUUUUUGGAUGAUAAAGACCUGGCUGAGACUGAAGAUAAUUCCUACUUUUGUCUUUUUUCUUCAAGGAACUUAUUUAUUAAAGAAAAGAGUCAAUUUUUAAGUAGAAAAUGAACUGAUUUAGAAAUGUUAUCCGUAUGAAUUGCAUUUAAUUUUGUUACUGUUUAAUAUAUAAAACAUUUUGAAGUACCCUUUUCAGUGCUCACAAGUGUGUAUACUCCUACGUAAAGAGAUGAGAUUAGACUGCUCUUGAAGUAAACUGACACGUUCCAGUCUCUGACUUGAAGUGCGACUCCUGUACGGUACGCUAUUGCAUGUCGUGCCCUCAGCUGAUCUUCACAGAAAUGCCAGCUGAAGUAUUGCUGAGCCUAUGGAAAUAAGAACAAGAGUUUCCAGUGUGAU